GUUAUCUGAUCCUUUUCGGAGGUGACGAUAAUGGAAUGAGCGGCGGACGGGUGAGUAACACGUAGGCACCUGCCUGUAAGACUGGGAUAACUCGUGGAAACGCGAGCUAAUACCGGAUAACACUUUUUAUCUCCUGAUGAGAAGUUGAAAGGCGGCUUUUGCUGUCACUUACAGAUGGGCCUGCGGCGCAUUAGCUAGUUGGUAAGGUAACGGCUUACCAAGGCGACGAUGCGUAGCCGACCUGAGAGGGUGAUCGGCCACACUGGGACUGAGACACGGCCCAGACUCCUACGGGAGGCAGCAGUAGGGAAUCUUCCGCAAUGGACGAAAGUCUGACGGAGCAACGCCGCGUGAGUGAUGAAGGUUUUCGGAUCGUAAAACUCUGUUGUUAGGGAAGAACAAGUGCCAUAGUAACUGAUGGCACCUUGACGGUACCUAACCAGAAAGCCACGGCUAACUACGUGCCAGCAGCCGCGGUAAUACGUAGGUGGCAAGCGUUGUCCGGAAUUAUUGGGCGUAAAGCGCUCGCAGGCGGUUCUUUAAGUCUGAUGUGAAAUCUUACGGCUCAACCGUAAACGUGCAUUGGAAACUGGAGGACUUGAGUGCAGAAGAGGAGAGUGGAAUUCCACGUGUAGCGGUGAAAUGCGUAGAGAUGUGGAGGAACACCAGUGGCGAAGGCGACUCUCUGGUCUGUAACUGACGCUGAGGAGCGAAAGCGUGGGGAGCGAACAGGAUUAGAUACCCUGGUAGUCCACGCCGUAAACGAUGAGUGCUAGGUGUUAGGGGGUUUCCGCCCCUUAGUGCUGAAGUUAACGCAUUAAGCACUCCGCCUGGGGAGUACGGCCGCAAGGCUGAAACUCAAAAGAAUUGACGGGGGCCCGCACAAGCGGUGGAGCAUGUGGUUUAAUUCGAAGCAACGCGAAGAACCUUACCAGGUCUUGACAUCCUCUGAACACUCUAGAGAUAGAGUUUUCCCUUCGGGGACAGAGUGACAGGUGGUGCCAUGGUUUUCGUCAGCUC
This 1020-nucleotide ribosomal RNA is filed under the name Oceanobacillus sp. RNAcentral describes it as "bacterial SSU rRNA". It matches the Rfam family "Bacterial small subunit ribosomal RNA", at positions 66 to 1061 of the family's 1533-position model. Lineage: Bacteria; Bacillati; Bacillota; Bacilli; Caryophanales; Bacillaceae. The record is from RNAcentral.